This is a long non-coding RNA of Thalassophryne amazonica, 861 nucleotides long. RefSeq lists it as uncharacterized. The transcript has 3 exons. Lineage: Eukaryota; Metazoa; Chordata; Actinopteri; Batrachoidiformes; Batrachoididae. The record is from RefSeq and is a predicted model, not a curated record.
UGCGCACGAAGGUUCAAGCUUGGCUGACGUAAAAACAUAUGAAUCAAAUCCAUAUAGUUUUUGAAAAAAAUAAAAAGGUACAAUACUUUUCUCACAGACCUCGUACAUAUGGACUAAAAACUAUAAGAAGACUAACAUUACAAAAGUCAGUCUUUAGAGAAUAAAGUCAUUUUAUCAGGAAAAUAUAAAAGAAAUCAAACAAGUACAAGAAAAAAAUUGUAGCAUUUGGAGAAAAAACAGAAGCAGUUCUAUAAAAUCUAACUAACUCACUCAGACUUUUUAUUAACCAUUCAAACAAACUGAAGUUGGUUUUGUUAAAAUAAAAAAGCAUCUUCACAAAAAGUUUCUCAGCAUCAAAUCUAAAUUUGCUAAUGAACGUUUCUUCCAGCAGGCUGUGGAUUACUACAUUUCCCACAGUGCCCUUCAUCCACGGGACAAGAAGAGCAAAAAAGUGGCGCGCAGCGGAGCCGAGGAGCAUAUUCUCACACCUGCGAGUCAUCUGCCUUUGAUAAUGAGUGGUGUACUUAAACCCCGCCUGGGCCAGAAUCUCAUACCUGAAUCAUGCCAGAAUCUGAGAUCAUCUUGAGACUAGAUACCAGCCUGAUACUAUAACCUGCAGAGAGAUUUCACAGAGACUUCCCCAACAUGAAUCCUGAGCUUCCUGCAGCUUCUCUUCAAGAACGUACUUCUGUCCUCAGCUCUGUCCCUGUCCUGGAUUCCAACCAGUUCCUACUCCAUGGACUCCAACCAGUUCCUACUCCACAAGCCUGGUUCCAUUUGCACUGCAGCUCCCGGCUUCCACCGCCCGGAGCGGGCCCUGUCUUCACUCUCCAGGCUCCGUCAUUCAGUUAUUUACUUCUG